Molecule: ribosomal RNA, 253 nt
Filed under: uncultured bacterium
Lineage: Bacteria
Description: partial 16S ribosomal RNA
Rfam family: Bacterial small subunit ribosomal RNA
Source: RNAcentral
UACGAAGGGGGCUAGCGUUGCUCGGAAUUACUGGGCGUAAAGCGCACGUAGGCGGAUUGUUAAGUCGGGGGUGAAAUCCUGGAGCUCAACUCCAGAACUGCCUUCGAUACUGGCGAUCUCGAGUUCGGGAGAGGUGAGUGGAACUGCGAGUGUAGAGGUGAAAUUCGUAGAUAUUCGCAAGAACACCGGUGGCGAAGGCGGGUCUCUGGGCCGUAACUGACGCUGAGGAGCGAAAGCAUGGGGAGCGAACAGG